This 527-nucleotide ribosomal RNA is filed under the name uncultured bacterium. Its description in RNAcentral is "bacterial SSU rRNA". It matches the Rfam family "Bacterial small subunit ribosomal RNA", at positions 355 to 874 of the family's 1533-position model. The record is from RNAcentral.
UCGGGAAUUUUGGGCAAUGGGCGCAAGCCUGACCCAGCAACGCCGCGUGAAGGAUGAAAUUUUUCGGAAUGUAAACUUCGCAAGAAUGGGAAGAAUAAGUUUCAAUUAACACCUGAAACGAUGACGGUACCAUUUGUAAGCUCCGGCUAACUUCGUGCCAGCAGCCGCGGUAAUACGAGGGGAGCAAGCGUUGUUCGGAUUUACUGGGCGUAAAGGGCGCGUAGGCGGCCACCGCAAGUCACUUGUGAAAUCUCCGGGCUUAACUCGGAAAGGUCAAGUGAUACUGCGGGGCUAGAGUGCAGAAGGGGCAACUGGAAUUCUCGGUGUAGCGGUGAAAUGCGUAGAUAUCGAGAGGAACACCUGCGGCGAAGGCGGGUUGCUGGGCUGACACUGACGCUGAUGCGCGAAAGCCAGGGGAGCGAACGGGAUUAGAUACCCCGGUAGUCCUGGCCUUAAACGAUGAAUGCUUGGUGUCUCGGGUUACAUAGUCCCGGGGUGCCGUCGCUAACGCUUUUAGCAUUCCGCCU